UCCGAUAUGGGGUAACGGCUAACCUAUUCCGCUUUCACCGGAAAGCCCCGAGUUCGACUCUCGGUAUCGGAG
This is a non-coding RNA of Stachybotrys elegans, 72 nucleotides long. NCBI's taxonomy places the organism in Eukaryota, Fungi, Ascomycota, Sordariomycetes, Hypocreales, Stachybotryaceae. The record is from the annotation of a GenBank genome assembly.